UCUCCGUUGGUGAACCAGCGGAGGGAUCAUUACCGAGUUUACAACUACCAAACCCCUGUGAACAUACCAUUUGUUGCCUCGGCGGUGCCUGCUUCGGCAGCCCGCCAGAGGACCCAAACCCUUGAUUUUAUACAGUAUCUUCUGAGUAAAUGAUUAAAUAAAUUAAAACUUUCAACAACGGAUCUCUUGGUUCUG
This 195-nucleotide unclassified non-coding RNA is filed under the name plant metagenome. RNAcentral describes it as "partial contains small subunit ribosomal RNA, internal transcribed spacer 1, and 5.8S ribosomal RNA". The record is from RNAcentral.